GGUAAAAUGGCUGAAGAAUAGGCGGUAAAUUGUAAAUUUAUUAAUGAAUAUAAUUCUUUUACUA
Molecule: transfer RNA, 64 nt
Filed under: Rhipicephalus microplus (southern cattle tick)
Lineage: Eukaryota; Metazoa; Arthropoda; Arachnida; Ixodida; Ixodidae
Description: tRNA-Tyr
Source: RNAcentral